AUUGAACGCUGGCGGCAAGCCUAACACAUGCAAGUCGAGCGGCAACGUGAAUCUUCAUUGAUUUUGACGGCGAGCGGCAAACGGGUGAGUAAUAUCUGGGGAUCUACCUAGAUGAGGGGGACAACCAUUGGAAACGGUGGCUAAUACCGCAUAAUGUUGAGAAACCAAAGUAGGGGAUUUCUUUUUAAGAAACCUUACGCAUCUAGAUGAACCCAGACGAGAUUAGCUUGAUGGUAGGGUAAUGGCUUACCAAGGCAACGAUCUCUAGCUGGUCUGAGAGGACGGUCAGCCACACUGGAACUGAGACACGGUCCAGACUCCUACGGGAGGCAGCAGUGGGGAAUAUUGCACAAUGGGCGAAAGCCUGAUGCAGCUAUGCCGCGUGUAUGAAGAAGGCCUUAGGGUUGUAAAGUACUUUCAGCAGGGAAGAAGCUAUAAAUAGCUAAUAUCUUUUAUAGUUGACGUUACCUGAAAAAGAAGCACCGGCUAACUCCGUGCCAGCCGCCGCAGUAAAAC
RNAcentral lists this ribosomal RNA (516 nucleotides) under uncultured bacterium. Its description in RNAcentral is "bacterial SSU rRNA". It matches the Rfam family "Bacterial small subunit ribosomal RNA", at positions 30 to 526 of the family's 1533-position model. The record is from RNAcentral.